AACGAACGCUGGCGGCAUGCCUAACACAUGCAAGUCGAACGAGACCUUCGGGUCUAGUGGCGCACGGGUGCGUAACGCGUGGGAACCUGCCCUUAGGUUCGGAAUAACUCCCCGAAAGGGGUGCUAAUACCGGAUAAUGUCUUCGGACCAAAGAUUUAUCGCCUUUGGAUGGGCCCGCGUUGGAUUGGCUAGUUGGUAGGGUAAAAGCCUACCAAGGCGACGAUCCAUAGCUGGUCUGAGAGGAUGAUCAGCCACACUGGGACUGAGACACGGCCCAGACUCCUACGGGAGGCAGCAGUGGGUAGGGUUGGACAAUGGGCGAGAUCCUGAUCCAGCAUUGCCGCGUGUGUGAUGAAGGCCUUAGGGAUAAAAAGCUCUUGUACCCGGGAUGAUAAUGGCAGUACCGGAAGAAUAAGAUCCGGCUCACUCCGUG
RNAcentral lists this ribosomal RNA (433 nucleotides) under uncultured bacterium. RNAcentral's name for it is "partial 16S ribosomal RNA". It matches the Rfam family "Bacterial small subunit ribosomal RNA", at positions 29 to 507 of the family's 1533-position model. The record is from RNAcentral.